Molecule: transfer RNA, 73 nt
Filed under: Euglena gracilis
Lineage: Eukaryota; Euglenozoa; Euglenophyceae; Euglenales; Euglenaceae
Description: tRNA-Arg
Rfam family: tRNA
About the family: Transfer RNA (tRNA) molecules are approximately 80 nucleotides in length. Their secondary structure includes four short double-helical elements and three loops (D, anti-codon, and T loops).
Source: RNAcentral
GGUCGUGUGGCGCAAUGGAUAGCGCGUCGGGCUUCGGACCCGACGGUUGCAGGUUCGAGUCCUGUCACGAUCG